GAUGAACGCUGGCGGCGUGCCUAAUACAUGCAAGUCGAGCGAACAGACGAGGAGCUUGCUCCUCUGACGUUAGCGGCGGACGGGUGAGUAACACGUGGAUAACCUACCUAUAAGACUGGGAUAACUUCGGGAAACCGGUGCUAAUACCGGCUCAUAUAUUGAACCGCAUGGAUCAAUAGUGAAAGACGGCUUUGCUGUCACUUAUAGAUGGAUCCGCGCCGCAUUAGCUAGUUGGUAAGGUAACGGCUUACCAAGGCAACGAUGCGUAGCUGACCUGAGAGGGUGAUCGGCCACACUGGAACUGAGACACGGUCCAGACUCCUACGGGAGGCAGCAGUAGGGAAUCUUCCGCAAUGGGCGAAAGCUUGACGGAGCAAUGCCGCGUGAGUGAUGAAGGUCUUCGGAUCGUAAAACUCUGUUAUUAGGGAAGAACAAAUGUGUAAGUAACUAUGCACGUCUUGACGGUACCUAAUCAGAAAGCCACGGCUAACUACGUG
RNAcentral lists this ribosomal RNA (497 nucleotides) under uncultured bacterium. RNAcentral's name for it is "partial 16S ribosomal RNA". It matches the Rfam family "Bacterial small subunit ribosomal RNA", at positions 28 to 507 of the family's 1533-position model. The record is from RNAcentral.